UCCGACUCAGCGUGUCUCUAGCAUCUAAGUGUGAAGCCCCCUCGAGAUGAGAUUUCCCAUUCCUAUAUGGAAGUAAGACCCCUGAGAGAUGAUCAGGUAGAUAGGCUGGAAGUGGAAGUGCAGCGAUGCAUGGAGCGGACCAGUACUAAUCGGUCGAGGACUUAACCAA
Molecule: ribosomal RNA, 169 nt
Filed under: Lacticaseibacillus paracasei
Lineage: Bacteria; Bacillati; Bacillota; Bacilli; Lactobacillales; Lactobacillaceae
Description: Lactobacillus paracasei partial 23S ribosomal RNA
Rfam family: Bacterial large subunit ribosomal RNA
Source: RNAcentral